Molecule: ribosomal RNA, 408 nt
Filed under: uncultured bacterium
Lineage: Bacteria
Description: partial 16S ribosomal RNA
Rfam family: Bacterial small subunit ribosomal RNA
Source: RNAcentral
GACGAACGCUGGCGGCGUGCUUAACACAUGCAAGUCGAACGAAGUGGCGAACGGGUGAGUAACGCGUAAUAAACCUGCCCUUCAGAGGGGGACAACAGUCGGAAACGACUGCUAAUACCGCAUACUGAAGGAGGGGAUUGCGUCUGAUUAGCUCGCUGGAGGGGUAACGGCCCACCAAGGCGAUGAUCAGUAGCCGGACUUAGAGGAUGAACGACCACAUUGGGACUUAGACACGGCCCAGACUCCUACGGGAGGCAGCAGUGGGGAAUCUUCCGCAAUUGACGAAAGUCUGACGGAGCAACGCCGCGUGAGUGAUGACGGCCUUCGGGUUUGAAAGCUCUGUUAAUCAGGACGCGGUACCGGAAUAGAAAGCCACGGCUAACUACGUGCCAGCAGCCGCGGUAAUUC